AUACGGAGGGUGCGAGCGUUAAUCGGAAUUACUGGGCGUAAAGCGUACGUAGGCGGUUGGUUAAGUUAGAUGUGAAAGCCCCGGGCUCAACCUGGGAACUGCAUUUAAAACUGGCGAACUAGAGUUGAGUAGAGGGGAGUGGAAUUUCAGGUGUAGCGGUGAAAUGCGUAGAGAUCUGAAGGAACACCAGUGGCGAAGGCGACUCCCUGGACUCGAACUGACGCUGAGGUACGAAAGCGUGGGUAGCAAACGGGAUUAGAAACCCUAGUAGUCC
This 274-nucleotide ribosomal RNA is filed under the name uncultured bacterium. RNAcentral describes it as "partial 16S ribosomal RNA". It matches the Rfam family "Bacterial small subunit ribosomal RNA", at positions 523 to 796 of the family's 1533-position model. The record is from RNAcentral.